This 497-nucleotide ribosomal RNA is filed under the name uncultured bacterium. RNAcentral's name for it is "partial 16S ribosomal RNA". It matches the Rfam family "Bacterial small subunit ribosomal RNA", at positions 28 to 507 of the family's 1533-position model. The record is from RNAcentral.
GAUGAACGCUGGCGGCGUGCCUAAUACAUGCAAGUCGAGCGAACGGACGAGAAGCUUGCUUCUCUGAUGUUAGCGGCGGACGGGUGAGUAACACGUGGAUAACCUACCUAUAAGACUGGGAUAACUUCGGGAAACCGGAGCUAAUACCGGAUAAUAUUUUGAACCGCAUGGUUCAAAAGUGAAAGACGGUCUUGCUGUCACUUAUAGAUGGAUCCGCGCUGCAUUAGCUAGUUGGUAAGGUAACGGCUUACCAAGGCAACGAUGCAUAGCCGACCUGAGAGGGUGAUCGGCCACACUGGAACUGAGACACGGUCCAGACUUCUACGGGAGGCAGCAGUAGGGAAUCUUCCGCAAUGGGCGAAAGCCUGACGGAGCAACGCCGCGUGAGUGAUGAAGGUCUUCGGAUCGUAAAACUCUGUUAUUAGGGAAGAGCAUAUGUGUAAGUAACUGUGCACAUCUUGACGGUACCUAAUCAGAAAGCCACGGCUAACUACGUG